RNAcentral lists this long non-coding RNA (1164 nucleotides) under Pogona vitticeps (central bearded dragon). RNAcentral describes it as "lncRNA (ENSPVIG00000001982.1)". Lineage: Eukaryota; Metazoa; Chordata; Lepidosauria; Squamata; Agamidae. The record is from RNAcentral.
AAAAAUGUCCCUUUAUGGACAAGAACUCCCAGAUUUUCCCCACUCAGCAUGUCAACGUCCUCUAGCCAAUAUGGUGUUUCUAAUCCAAAAAGUAACCUUUCCAAGCUUUGAUCAGGAGUGCCAUGACAUGUAACUCUUCUGAGGGCUGCCAUGUGUUCCACGUGUAAAUGAAGCCAGGGGAAGAUCAAUACCCUUUAGUUUUCAACUACUGCUGCCAAUAUUAAGUUUAAACAAACUAUAUAUACAUAUGUGUGUAUAAAGACACACAUACACACUGAAAUGGUUUUGUGUUAUUUUGUACUUGCUUGUACGGAGAAACCAUGCAGCCCACAAUGGGAAUGCUCCUCAGUCUCCUACAUUUAUCUCCAGGCAUGAUUUAUAUCUCCUAUUUUCUCCAAAUCAGUGAUGGGAAUGCAUUCUUGAGGAAUAAAAAUAAGUACGAGAGAACUACACCCCAUUAAACAUUUUUAUCUGCUUGCAGAAUGGGGAAGCAGGGGAUUUUCUGAGCCUCACAUGUCUGAGACGGUUUGCACACACACAGAACCUCUUUCUCUUCCUCUUUUCAAAAUUCAAAUCAAUUCAAUGAAUUCCAAAGCACUGCCAGGUAAAUUACAUGAAUACGAAAUGCUGCUUUGCAUCAGCCUUCCAACAACUUUUUUUCUCUUGUUUCAGGGUUGUAGCAACUAAAAGAGAGGAUUUUGCAUGGACUUCUAGCUAGGUGGGUAGGAGACCUGCCAUGACAGCUGUUGCAGAUGGGAAGAUGGGCAAUCUGAACUUUGGCAGCCUCUCUUACUUAACUAGAUGCCUCCCUGGAGCAGUUCCAGGAAAAAGUCUGUCCCAAGCUAAACAUCGUUGCAGUCCUUACUAUCUGUGGGUACCUUUUUGGCUUACAGUAAAGGUAAAUAAGGUAAGGAGGAAAACGACAGAGGUGUAUAAUAACAUGUGGAGCACGGGAAAAGUGAAUGGUAUUCAAUAUGAGAACUUGGGAUCAUUUGACGAUGAUGAAUGGUGGGAGAUUUAGAGCAAAUGAAAGAAGGAGCUUCUUCACCUAGAAUAUGUUGCUUGGUUUCUAUAGUGACAACCAUCAACUUUGAACAGCUUCAUAAGGAGAUUAGGCAAAUUAAUGGUGGACCAAGCUGCCAUUGGCUCCAUGUCACAAUGACU